CCUGCCCUAUCCUUGCUCAGCCACUGCAGAAUGGUGCCCAUGCAGCACCAUGAAGCAGGAGCACUGUCCCACACCUCACUGACACCCAACUCCGGGAUGUCCUUCACUGAUGAGCAGCUCCCUGAAAUCCUCUGUGCUGUAAGAGUUUAUAAUCUGAGAAGUGGAAUGGAGGACAGAAAAUUGUAUCCAGAGCACCACAGUCCAAGCAAACCAUCUCUGUGCCUCUGCUUUAUCUUAAUAAUUAAAGCAAGUACUGGCACAUUUACCAAGCUACAGCCCCAUCAGCUGCUAUGCAAAAGUGAGAGACACGCCUAAGGGUUCCCCCCAGCUUCUGGUCUCCCUGGAGCUCAUCAAGUGAUGAUGCAGUGCUCAGUCCUUUCCACACUGAGAGACACCAGAUGUGAAGGUGCAGAGAGAGUGGGGCCCAAGAGCCAUGCUGUCUAGGAGGCUAAGCCUCUUCAUUGAGCACCCCA
RNAcentral lists this long non-coding RNA (473 nucleotides) under Coturnix japonica (Japanese quail). Its description in RNAcentral is "lncRNA (ENSCJPG00005007989.1)". Lineage: Eukaryota; Metazoa; Chordata; Aves; Galliformes; Phasianidae. The record is from RNAcentral.